This 316-nucleotide ribosomal RNA is filed under the name uncultured eukaryote. Its description in RNAcentral is "partial large subunit ribosomal RNA". It matches the Rfam family "Eukaryotic large subunit ribosomal RNA", at positions 40 to 350 of the family's 3401-position model. The record is from RNAcentral.
AUAUUAAUAAGGGGAGGAAAAGAAACUAACAAGGAUUCCCCCAGUAACGGCGAGUGAAGCGGGAGGAGCUCAAUGUGAGAAUCGAGGACCUAAGCGGGUCCUCGAGUUGUAGCCUAGAGACGUGCUAUCAGCGGACACCUGGGUAUAAGUUCUUUGGAAUGAGGCACGAUACAGGGUGAGAGUCCCGUAUACGAUCCAAAGUUGUACGCGUACGAUGCAUGUUCCUCGAGUCGAGUUGUUUGGGAUUGCAGCUCUAAAUGGGUGGUAAGUUUCAUCUAAAGCUAAAUAACGGCGAGAGACCGAUAGCGCACAAGUA